Molecule: ribosomal RNA, 253 nt
Filed under: uncultured bacterium
Lineage: Bacteria
Description: partial 16S ribosomal RNA
Rfam family: Bacterial small subunit ribosomal RNA
Source: RNAcentral
UACAGAGGUCCCAAGCGUUGUUCGGAUUCACUGGGCGUAAAGGGUGCGUAGGUGGCCAGGUAAGUUUGGUGUGAAAGCUCGGAGCUUAACUCCGAAGAGUCAUUGAAUACUAUCUGGCUGGAGGGUCGGAGGGGAGACUGGAAUUCUCGGUGUAGCAGUGAAAUGCGUAGAUAUCGAGAGGAACACCAGUGGCGAAGGCGAGUCUCUGGACGACACCUGACACUGAGGCACGAAAGCUAGGGGAGCAAACAGG